This 253-nucleotide ribosomal RNA is filed under the name uncultured bacterium. RNAcentral's name for it is "partial 16S ribosomal RNA". It matches the Rfam family "Bacterial small subunit ribosomal RNA", at positions 524 to 776 of the family's 1533-position model. The record is from RNAcentral.
UACGUAGGGUGCAAGCGUUAUCCGGAAUUAUUGGGCGUAAAGAGCUCGUAGGCGGUUUGUCGCGUCUGCUGUGAAAACCCGAGGCUCAACCUCGGGCCUGCAGUGGGUACGGGCAGACUAGAGUGCGGUAGGGGAGAUUAGAAUUCCUGGUGUAGCGGUGGAAUGCGCAGAUAUCAGGAGGAACACCGAUGGCGAAGGCAGAUCUCUGGGCCGUAACUGACGCUGAGGAGCGAAAGCGUGGGGAGCGAACAGG